UAACGGUCCUAAGGUAGCGAAAUUCCUUGUCGGGUAAGUUCCGACCUGCACGAAUCGUGUAACGACCGGACCGCUGUCUCGGAGUGGUUCUCGGCGAAAUUGUAGUGGCGGUGAAGAUGCCGCCUGCCCGCAGUAGGACGGAAAGACCCUAUGCACCUUUACUAUAAGCUGGUAUUGGGUUCUGGUCUUUGAUGCGUAGCAUAGGUGGGAGACGUUGAAUUGGCGGUUUCGGUCGUCAAGGAGUCAUCAGUGAAAUACCACUCUUUAAUGAUUAGGAUUCUAACCCCAACCCUGUUAGCCAGGUGGGGGACAGUGCCUGCGGGUUAGUUUGACUGGGGCGGUUUCCUCCUAAAAAGUAACGGAGGAGCGCGAAGGUACUCUCAGCACGGUUGGCAACCGUGCGUCGAGCGUAUGGGUAUAAGAGUGCUUAACUGUGAGACCUACAAGUCGAGCAGAUGCGAAAGCAGGCCCAAGUGAUCCGAUGGUUGAAUGUGGAAUUGCCAUCGCUCAACGGACAAAAGGUACGCUAGGGAUAACAGGCUGAUCGCGCCCAAGAGUUCAUAUCGACGGCGCGGUUUGGCACCUCGAUGUCGGCUCAUCGCAUCCUGGGGCUGGAGAAGGUCCCAAGGGUCCGGCUGUUCGCCGGUUAAAGCGGUACGCGAGCUGGGUUCAGAACGUCGUGAGACAGUUCGGUCCUUAUCCACUGUGGGCGUAGGAAACUUGAGGGGUUCAUUCUCUAGUACGAGAGGACCGAGAAUGACGCACUUCUGGUGUGGCAGUUGUUCCGUCAGGGGCAGCGCUGCGUAGCCAAGUGCGGAAGAGAUAAGCGCUGAAAGCAUCUAAGUGCCAAGCUCCUCCCAAGAUAAGGUUUCCCGGACGCAAGUCCCUUAAGACCCCCGGAAGACUACCGGGUUGAUAGGUCAGGCGUGUAAGCGUGGCAACAUGUUUAGCGGACUGAUACUAAUCGGUCGUGAGGCUUGAUCGC
This 985-nucleotide ribosomal RNA is filed under the name seawater metagenome. RNAcentral's name for it is "bacterial LSU rRNA". It matches the Rfam family "Bacterial large subunit ribosomal RNA", at positions 1943 to 2925 of the family's 2925-position model. The record is from RNAcentral.